GACGAACGCUGGCGGCGUGCCUAAUACAUGCAAGUUGAGCGAUGAAGAUUGGUGCUUGCACCAAUUUGAAGAGCAGCGAACGGGUGAGUAACGCGUGGGGAAUCUGCCUUUGAGCGGGGGACAACAUUUGGAAACGAAUGCUAAUACCGCAUAACAACUUUAAACAUAAGUUUUAAGUUUGAAAGAUGCAAUUGCAUCACUCAAAGAUGAUCCCGCGUUGUAUUAGCUAGUUGGUGAGGUAAAGGCUCACCAAGGCGAUGAUACAUAGCCGACCUGAGAGGGUGAUCGGCCACAUUGGGACUGGGACACGGCCCAAACUCCUACGGGAGGCAGCAGGAGGGAAUCUUCGGCAAUGGACGAAAGUCUGACCGAGCAACGCCGCGGGAGGGAAGAAGGUUUUCGGAUCGUAAAACUCUGUUGGUAGAGAAGAACGCUGGUGAGAGUGGAAAGCUCAUCAAGUGACGGUAACUACACAGAAAGGGACGGCUAACUACGUG
RNAcentral lists this ribosomal RNA (497 nucleotides) under uncultured bacterium. RNAcentral describes it as "partial 16S ribosomal RNA". It matches the Rfam family "Bacterial small subunit ribosomal RNA", at positions 28 to 507 of the family's 1533-position model. The record is from RNAcentral.